AUUAACAAAAUUCAAUUCAAAAAUUAAUCCAAUUAUCUAAAACUCUAAACAAAUUAACCAAUGAUCCAAACAAUUAUCCAAAAAAACAGCAUGAUUAAUAUCCUAAUAUUAAACUACUAUUAAUCUAAUAUUAUAACUAAUCCUAACAUUACACUAAACUAAUCCUAUGAUUAACCAAUUAACCUCAGUCCAGCAUGGGCCUUGGCUAGAGGAUAUGGCAAAGCCCAGACGCAGGGAGGUGUACUGAGCCUUGUGAGUGUGUGGAGCAGAAAACUAUGCUUGGGCCUCAAUUGGAGGCCCAAGGUAGAAACAGCAAAGCGCAUCGCCUCCUACCUCUUCACGCUCUAAACUCAACAAAGAGAAAACGUGAGACAACGUAAAAGCCUAGCCGUGUCGGCUUUCACCAUCGGCGGCGGCGGUUCACCUUGAAGCGUUACACCAUUCUACGCGACCUUAAACUCUCCUAAUUGAAACGGGAAGCAAAUACUCCACACACACAAAAAACCAGAUCGCUACUACGGCUCGUUCUUACCGGCGACGGCGAAGACGAACUCGAAAAUCCGGUAUCCUGCACGAUUCGGUUCUGCAACCAUCUAUCCUCCACUUGUCCUUCAGUUACAAACUUCUGCUACGAUCUACCGUAGAUCACGACUUGGUAUUAUCACUCUAUUUUGUCUGGAUUCACCGUGGUUGUCGCGGAACGAAUGUGGCGGCGACGACGAUUUGAUUAUGCAGGUGGAGGAAGCAUGUGGUGGUGGUUCGUUAUUAAAGAUUGAGGAUCAUUGAAGGAUUUAAGGAGAAAUGGAAGGUGGAGUGAGGAAACGGUUAUGGCGGUCUUUUGUGAGAAAUGGUUAUGGAAAUUUGAUCAAGUUUUGGUGGAGUUUGAGGGGAAAGAAGAAGAACGAUUCUGAAAAAAAAGAAAAGAAAAUGGCGAGAGCCUUCCCAAGGUGAGUUUAUGAAUUUAUAUAGAACUGAAAAUGGAUGAGCUUGAAGUCUGUGUUUUGGUUUUUCUGUUGCAUUUCUAUUUUCCGUUUAUUGCAGUUUUCAAUGGCUUGUUGGCUUAUGAGAGCUGAGUUUGAAGCUUGGUUUGCUGCGUUUCCCAUUCAGUUGUCGUUUACUACUUUGGUUGCCGUUUUGGUCUUGGCGCUGCGUUUGGAAGUAGUGUUAUGUGCGUUUGCGUUUUGAAUCGUUCACAUGCCGUCUUGGAUUAGUUGAUGCGCUUUUGCUCAUGCCGUUUUGUUAUGCAGCUUUUCCAUGUGGUAGCUUAUUGGCUUAUGCAGCUCAUGUUUGGAAGCUGCACUUGUUUGGAGCUGGUUUUGCAGCUGGUGUUGCUUGUGUAACAGCUUUGGUUUAUGUGGAAGCUCAUAGCUGUUAUGCCGGCGUUGUGGCUUGAGGCUUGUUGCCUAGUUUAUGAGGUUUGUGCGGUAGCUGUUAGCAGCUUGUGUGUUCGCUGUUGUGGCCUUUGCAGUGCGUUUGGAAAUUUGUUGGCUUGCAGCGUUUGGCUGCAGCUUGCAUUGUCGGCGUUGGUUGCCGUUUUGGUAGCUUUCACAUUUCAAUCCAUUUUACUGCACUUGGUUUUUUUCACUGCAGAUUACCACUUGCAGCUUUUUCAAACUGUGUUUUCCUGUACUUCCUGUAUUACUGCUAUGGGUCAUAUGUGUUAUGUUACUUGUAAAUGGGCUCAAUAAAAUGCAAUGAUCUUUUUCCAUGAA
This is a long non-coding RNA of Lathyrus oleraceus (garden pea), 1712 nucleotides long. RefSeq lists it as uncharacterized. Lineage: Eukaryota; Viridiplantae; Streptophyta; Magnoliopsida; Fabales; Fabaceae. The transcript is spliced from 2 exons. The record is from RefSeq and is a predicted model, not a curated record.